This 253-nucleotide ribosomal RNA is filed under the name uncultured bacterium. RNAcentral describes it as "partial 16S ribosomal RNA". It matches the Rfam family "Bacterial small subunit ribosomal RNA", at positions 524 to 776 of the family's 1533-position model. The record is from RNAcentral.
UACAGAGGGGGCAAGCGUUAUUCGGAAUUAUUGGGCGUAAAGGGCGCGUAGGCGGCCUGGCAAGUGGAAGGUGAAAUCCCUCGGCUUAACCGAGGAACUGCCCUCCAAACUGCUUGGCUUGAGUCCGGGAGAGGUGAGUGGAAUUCCCAGUGGAGCGGUGAAAUGCGUAGAUAUUGGGAGGAACACCAGUGGCGAAGGCGGCUCACUGGACCGGAACUGACGCUGAGGCGCGAAAGCGUGGGGAGCAAACGGG